Long non-coding RNA from Solenopsis invicta (red fire ant), 2026 nucleotides. RefSeq lists it as uncharacterized. NCBI's taxonomy places the organism in Eukaryota, Metazoa, Arthropoda, Insecta, Hymenoptera, Formicidae. The transcript is spliced from 4 exons. The record is from RefSeq and is a predicted model, not a curated record.
UAUAAUUAUUUUUAACAAAAAAGUGGCUAUAACUGGAAAACGACUUAUUUUCGAACUUAUGUUUAUAUAGCUUUUUUUCUUACUUUUAGGGUCUCAAAUCACGUCCCGAAAUAUUCGUCGCGAUUUUCCGGACAUGCUAUAUAGUGUUUACAUUUAUGUUACAUUUGGUGUGUGCUAGGUUACUAUUUUGGCUUUAUGACUGUGUUUCAAGUCCGACAAAUAUGCGGCGUGCAGUUUAAGUUGGAAGUUGUAAAAAUUGUAAAAAUUAGAAAUUAUUAUUAUUUUGGACAUCAAGAACCGCUGUGAUUAAUAGGCCUUCUUGUCUCAUGAAUUAUUUAUAUAAACUAAUCUAUUAAUAAUUAAAAACAAUGUUAAUAUCUAGUUCGAACCUAGCAAAAACAAUAACAUAAUAAGAAAAGGUCAAGUACAAAGCAGUCAACCAAUGUUAUUUAUAUAUGACUGAUAUUGAAUCGCAAGACGUUUCACUUAAACCAUUUUCUCUUUCUCUCAGCUAAAACUUAACAACUCGAAAACAACUUUAAAAUUUAAAAACUUUACCUCUACAUUGCUUAAAUAAUAUAAUUAACAUAAAAUUGAUUAGAUGUGAUAGAAUAAUAUAUGGUCCAUGAAAACAUCUUUAAAGGUAUAAACAAAGUAAAGAAAUUAAUCAUAAAUUAAAAAUAGAACGUAAUAAGCUACAUGAAAGAAACGUUCUGUAAUUCACUAAACUAUCAAUCAUAUACAAAUGACAUCGGUUGUUUGCUUACUGCUUGCUAUUUGAUCUUUUCUUACUAUGUUAUUGUAAAUCUAUUAAUAAUCUACUGCGUAUAUUACAUACUAAUCAAUAUAUGCACAUUCAUAUAAAACACGUAAUAUCAGAAUGUGUUGAAAGCAACGUGACUAUUCCUACUGCGUAGUUCUCACGUAGAAGUGUUGUAGAACAAUAAUGUUUCUGAUGCCCUCUUGGGUGUAAUCUCGAAAAAAUACAUGCAGACAGCCCUUGCAUGAAGCUACGUUCUCUUUUUUUAUGCGAAUAAUUGGAUAUGUAGCACGGGAUAUAAAAUAUCUGACUAUCGUACAUUCCGUAUGUAAUAUAUUAUAUUAAAAAUUUCCUAUGUAAAUAUGAUAAAUUUCAAUUUUAUUGAAGGAUAUUUCAUCUUUGUUUUUCAAUAUGAUAUAAAUAACUAUUUAAAAUUUCAAUUUGUUUAAGUGACAGAUUUUAUACCGAUGGAAUCGACAUCAAACGUCAAUGAUAUUUGUGUAUCUCGUAACAAUAUCUGCAUAUAAAAAAUGUGAAUACUUUUCACUUCGUGUAAACACUCAUUAAUAUAAUACAAGAUAAUAAUGGUGGUCCAGACAUCAAGGGAACUAAUACUACACGGUUACGCAACGUAUUCAUAUUAAGUUAAGAGAUUCAAAAGGAUUCGGCAAACGUAGUACAAGAUUGAUACGAAUUGGUGGUUUUCUCUUUACUUAUCUUUUUUUUUCUCCCUUCCGAAGUUCACAACAUUCACUAUUGCUUACAAAUAAUACUGAAUCUACUUAAAGUAUUUUCAGCCGCACCCAAAGAGAGACUUUCUUAUGCAUUAUUGUGCGCAACAUUUCAAAACAUUCUCCGGCUUGUGCCGGCAUUCGCUUUAAUGUCGAAUUAGCGAGAUGUUAACGGCAGUUUUACGUAUAUACAUACGUACGUUCAGCAAUAAAUUUUCCUUCUAAGAUUAUCGACGAGUUGCAAAUCAACGGUUGCUAUUAACUCUUAAAGGAAUCUGCUUUCAUUCGCAAGAAUAGAAAAAGUUUACUAUAUGCUCGAAUUUAAUAGAAUUUGAAUUUAAACUUAAUAAAAGACGAUGGAUAGAAUGAGCGAAUUUUUAUCCUCGGAAUGAUAAAGUAUACUUUUUGUAGUUACUUGAACUUGCUGAAUUUAAUUGUGAAUUUAAAUAAUUUUAAUUUGUCGGAAAAGUAUUAAAACUAAGAAGCUAUUAAAUAUAUAAGAAGCUAUUAUAAAAACGAUGUGUUAAUGAAAAUA